Molecule: ribosomal RNA, 1378 nt
Filed under: Vibrio cholerae
Lineage: Bacteria; Pseudomonadati; Pseudomonadota; Gammaproteobacteria; Vibrionales; Vibrionaceae
Description: partial 23S ribosomal RNA
Rfam family: Bacterial large subunit ribosomal RNA
Source: RNAcentral
GUGCGAAUGCUGACAUGAGUAACGACAAAGGGGGUGAAAAACCUCCUCGCCGGAAGACCAAGGGUUCCUGUCCAACGUUAAUCGGGGCAGGGUGAGUCGACCCCUAAGGUGAGGCCGAAAGGCGUAAUCGAUGGGAAACGGGUUAAUAUUCCCGUACUUCUGACUAUUGCGAUGGGGGGACGGAGAAGGCUAGGUGGGCCAGGCGACGGUUGUCCUGGUUCAAGUGCGUAGGCUUGAGAGUUAGGUAAAUCCGGCUCUCUCUAAGGCUGAGACACGACGUCGAGCUACUACGGUAGUGAAGUCAUUGAUGCCAUGCUUCCAGGAAAAGCCUCUAAGCUUCAGAUAGUCAGGAAUCGUACCCCAAACCGACACAGGUGGUCGGGUAGAGAAUACCAAGGCGCUUGAGAGAACUCGGGUGAAGGAACUAGGCAAAAUGGUACCGUAACUUCGGGAGAAGGUACGCUCUUGAUGGUGAAGUCCCUCGCGGAUGGAGCUGACGAGAGUCGCAGAUACCAGGUGGCUGCAACUGUUUAUUAAAAACACAGCACUGUGCAAAAUCGCAAGAUGACGUAUACGGUGUGACGCCUGCCCGGUGCCGGAAGGUUAAUUGAUGGGGUUAGCGCAAGCGAAGCUCUUGAUCGAAGCCCCGGUAAACGGCGGCCGUAACUAUAACGGUCCUAAGGUAGCGAAAUUCCUUGUCGGGUAAGUUCCGACCUGCACGAAUGGCGUAAUGAUGGCCACGCUGUCUCCACCCGAGACUCAGUGAAAUUGAAAUCGCUGUGAAGAUGCAGUGUACCCGCGGCUAGACGGAAAGACCCCGUGAACCUUUACUACAGCUUGGCACUGAACAUUGAACCUACAUGUGUAGGAUAGGUGGGAGGCUAUGAAGACGUGACGCCAGUUGCGUUGGAGCCGUCCUUGAAAUACCACCCUUGUAUGUUUGAUGUUCUAACUUAGACCCAUUAUCUGGGUUGAGGACAGUGCCUGGUGGGUAGUUUGACUGGGGCGGUCUCCUCCCAAAGAGUAACGGAGGAGCACGAAGGUGGGCUAAUCACGGUUGGACAUCGUGAGGUUAGUGCAAUGGCAUAAGCCCGCUUAACUGCGAGAAUGACGGUUCGAGCAGGUGCGAAAGCAGGUCAUAGUGAUCCGGUGGUUCUGUAUGGAAGGGCCAUCGCUCAACGGAUAAAAGGUACUCCGGGGAUAACAGGCUGAUACCGCCCAAGAGUUCAUAUCGACGGCGGUGUUUGGCACCUCGAUGUCGGCUCAUCACAUCCUGGGGCUGAAGUCGGUCCCAAGGGUAUGGCUGUUCGCCAUUUAAAGUGGUACGCGAGCUGGGUUUAGAACGUCGUGAGACAGUUCGGUCCCUAUCUGCCGUGGG